GUGUUAGGUAGCUCAGUUGGGAAAGCGCUCACCUCUCACGCCAGAGAUGCGGGUUUCAAUCCCGGCGCGGUAUG
Molecule: transfer RNA, 74 nt
Filed under: Plutella xylostella (diamondback moth)
Lineage: Eukaryota; Metazoa; Arthropoda; Insecta; Lepidoptera; Plutellidae
Description: tRNA-Glu
Source: RNAcentral